CCCACAUCCAUACAGUCACCCAAACACUCACCAGCACCACUCUCGCCGUCAAACAGGUACACAUCAGUGCAUCUGGAGUGUGGAAAUCUGAUUGCAUCUAGGUGCAUAGAAACCCACAGUAUGCACCAUGUGUUGGUGUUCUAAGGGUUUCUCUAAGGAGAGAGGAGAGGAGAAGUAUGAUUAAUACAACAAAAAUGUGUUUCUUUAUGGUAUGCGUUGAGUUGGUUGUUCAUGGACAAAUGGAAACGGGAUGCAAGUAAGCAGGGCGCAAGGGCGGUGAAGAGAAAGAUGACUCGAGGAAUACGCAUGUUGAGAGGGAAGGAGAGAGUGUAUCAAAAGCACGGAGGGGUCGGAGCAAACAAGUGUAAGAAGGAUGGCAGUUGAGGGAGGAAAAAUGUGGCGUUGAGUGUGGUGAGCGAGGAGGAAGGAGGGAGGGAAAAAGGAGAAGGGGGCUUCUGUCGUUCCCAGGGGCAGGCUGGGUAAUCUUGGGCAGUGGCAUAGCACAGUCCAUCACACCUCCUCGGAGCACCUUCUGCUCUGCACCAAAGCCCCGGUUGUUUGGCUACCUACUCCACACGCCCCCUCCUUUUUUCUGUCUCUCCCUUUCUUUUUUUCCUUUCUCUCUAUAAUGUCUUUUCCUUCAUCGUGUAUAAGCCCCUUUGCUUAUUUCCUUUCUUUUCUCCCUUCCCUCCCUUUGCUUUCAAGCGGCCUCUUUGUCUUUCUCUCUCUCUCUACCUACUCUGUAGUUCUCUCCCAUCCCCUUUCUCUCCCAUCAUCUCUCCCACUUCUCCCUUGUUCUAUCCAUUCCUCCCUCUCUCUGGCCCCUGCCUCCUGUUCUCUUUCGAUCUCCCUCUCCAUCUCUGUCCCUCUCUUCCCCUGUGCAUCUAUUUUUCUCCUCUCUCUCUCUCAGUCUCCUCCCUCUCUCCCUCUCUCUUCCCCGUCUUUCCCUCGUCACACUCCAGUGCAGAGUUUCUGGACUCAGACACAUUAUCCAGCAGAAGGAGGGAGUCGUAUAUUACCAGUCAUGAUUAAGCCAUCUGCUGGGAGCAGGCCAGAGAGGAGAGAAGACGAGAGGAGAGGAGGGGAGGGAGGGGAGGGGAAUAGAGGGAGCAAGAGAAUGAAAGAUGGAGAGAGAGACGAGAUGGGGGGGGGGGGUGUACUGAGGAAGAAAGGGAAAAGAGAAAGAUUUCAAGAUGUAGAGAAAGAGUGAGAAGGAGCUGUAUUAUAGGGAGAAAGAGAGAGAGAGAGAGAGAGCAAAAUGGAGGGCGGGGGAAGUCGGAUGAAAGGGAGAGAGAUAUAUUGCAAUAGAGGGAGGGCACAAGUGAGGGAGGAGGGUGAAGCUACAGAGAGAGGGGGGAGAGAGAGAGAGCAAACACAGGGACAGAGGGUUAGAAAAAAGAGAGGGAGAGUUAGAGAAGGAGGGAGGGGAAAAGAGACCUAAGGUGAGGGAAAGGGAGAGAGAAAGGGUGAGAUUGGUGGCGGUAGAGGGGAGAGGGAAAACACAGAACAAUGCUGCCCCCUAUGGUCUGAAGGCCGUCACCAUCUCCCUUCCUGCUGUCCUCUCUGCCCUCGCUUUGUCAGCCUGGCGUGGCUCGCCAGCGGUACCCAGAGAGAUCUGCUACUUAUCGACCUGUCGGGUCUGGUCUGCCUGCGCUGUCUGAUGCAGAAGCAAGCGUGUGUUCAGCCAAAGUUUUUUUUAUUGAUAUUGCCGUUGCUCUGUUGAGACACCCUCCCCAGUGUGAGGGCAGUCUAGAUUGGUAAUGGCUG
Molecule: long non-coding RNA, 1767 nt
Organism: Clupea harengus (Atlantic herring)
Lineage: Eukaryota; Metazoa; Chordata; Actinopteri; Clupeiformes; Clupeidae
Source: Ensembl